This 288-nucleotide long non-coding RNA is filed under the name Brassica napus (rape). RNAcentral describes it as "long non-coding RNA (BNAP_LNC016884)". Lineage: Eukaryota; Viridiplantae; Streptophyta; Magnoliopsida; Brassicales; Brassicaceae. The record is from RNAcentral.
AAAUUAUUUUCACCAUCUUUAUAGAGCAAGUGGGUUUCAAGAUUCUUCCCUUUCAGACUCUCUUUGAUAGAGGUCACAAAAAUGUUUGGGAGUCCUUCAUAUCUUAGCCCAAUGGUUCCCCAUUCCACAUCUAUGGCAAACUGAUUUGGUCGAGCUUUGUGGCUCAAAGGAUAUACCACGGCCACUGCCUUGACCAUGGCUCAAAUUGGGUUGAUACCCACGGCCUCUGCCAUAGUGAUUCCCAUGGCCAAAUGUGUUAUAGUGGUCAUGGCCACGUCCUUUCCACCC